This 85-nucleotide small RNA is filed under the name Flavobacterium granuli. RNAcentral describes it as "Flavo-1 RNA". It matches the Rfam family "Flavo-1 RNA". The record is from RNAcentral. Lineage: Bacteria; Pseudomonadati; Bacteroidota; Flavobacteriia; Flavobacteriales; Flavobacteriaceae.
UCCUAUCGUGCGUAAGGGAUGGAAGCGGCAUCCUUUAUUUUGUUUCUUCCAGAAAAUAACGAUACAGCGCACAGCCCGACCCGCA